Molecule: ribosomal RNA, 573 nt
Filed under: Hansenula anomala
Lineage: Eukaryota; Fungi; Ascomycota; Saccharomycetes; Phaffomycetales; Wickerhamomycetaceae
Description: Wickerhamomyces anomalus partial large subunit ribosomal RNA
Rfam family: Eukaryotic large subunit ribosomal RNA
Source: RNAcentral
AAACCAACAGGGAUUGCCUCAGUAACGGCGAGUGAAGCGGCAAAAGCUCAAAUUUGAAAUCUAGCACCUUCGGUGUUCGAGUUGUAAUUUGAAGAUGGUAACCUUGGGUUUGGCUCUUGUCUAUGUUCCUUGGAACAGGACGUCAUAGAGGGUGAGAAUCCCGUCUGAUGAGAUGCCCAUUCCUAUGUAAGGUGCUAUCGAAGAGUCGAGUUGUUUGGGAAUGCAGCUCUAAGUGGGUGGUAAAUUCCAUCUAAAGCUAAAUAUUGGCGAGAGACCGAUAGCGAACAAGUACAGUGAUGGAAAGAUGAAAAGAACUUUGAAAAGAGAGUGAAAAAGUACGUGAAAUUGUUGGAAGGGAAGGGCAUUAGAUCAGACUUGGUGUUUUACGAUUAUCUUCUCUUCUUGAGUUGUGCACUCGUAUUUCACUGGGCCAGCAUCGAUUCGGAUGGCAAGAUAAUGGCAGUUGAAUGUGGCUUCACUUCGGUGGAGUGUUAUAGCUUCUGCUGAUAUUGCCUGUCUGGAUCGAGGGCUGCGUCUUUUGACUAGGAUGCUGGCGUAAUGAUCUAAUGCCGC